CAAUGAACACAAUUCUAAGGAAUAUGCCUUCUUCUAAGGAAGAAGCCAGCCAUGGCAUCUUAGCACAGACUGUCAUAAUAAAAUACAGCCUGGAUGGCAUAACAGAAACUUAUUUCUCGGAGGCGUGAAGGCUGGGAAGGCCAAGAUCAAGGUGCUGAUAAGCCAUUAGUUCCUCAGGAUCACCUCUGACAUGUAAAGUCCCCAGUGAGAUCCCAAAUUCACUUGCAGAUAAUCUAAGAAACACACCAAAAGACCGGAUACUUUCUACAACCUACCCUGACAAAGAUUUACACACCUUUUCCAAAAGACUACGCCACAACAGGCGACGAUGUACUGUCUACUCGGUGCCAGAUACUAAGACUACAACAGAUGAAUAGAAGCACGGACCUUGUCUUCGAGGCCCUCGCCAACCAGUCAAGCGAACAGAUAAAAAGGUAUAGUGAGGCUGCAGAGGCAACUCCUCGGCCUGGCUGCCUCCAACACGAGGAUCGUGUUUCAUGAGAACAACGGCCACGGUUCCAGCUUCAGCUCUCACUAGGGCAAAGCCUAAUGACCAAUAAUAACGGGUGAUGCUUUGGGGGAAUUCACUCAUUCUUUUGAUAAAUCUGUAUGCGAUAUUUACUAUGUGCCUGGAACAGUGUGAACUGCCAGGGAUACAAUGGUGAAGAACAAAACUACCCACGGUCUCUACUUUCUCGAAGCAAACAGUCUAAAUGCCAAUACCUGUAUUGCCAGACUUAACCACAAUAGAAUCCAAUCGGCAGCCGGGGAGCCAAUAUGAUCAUUAUUAAGGGUCACAUGUAACCUGUAUCAGAUACUGGAGGCUCUCAACCAUUCAAUCUUCAACAGACACUUACAAAUGUCUCUUAUGUGCAGGAUACUCUGCUGGGUACAAUACAGAGAAGGAAGGAUGAAUAAGAAAGACACCAACGCAGUCUUCAGAGAAGCUGUCUAAAGCGUCUAAGACUUUUCAAAUGGCGUAUUUAGUUUUCAAAACCAACACAAACAUGAUAAUACAAAGUAACAAGAAUUCAAUGUGACUCAGUGGGUUAGCUAGUUAACUUUUCAAGGAAAAAUAUUUAAAGUGUUUUGGAAACCAUGAAUAAACUAACCCUUCUAUCUAGAGAAGGCAAUCCAAACUACUAAAUAGUGAUUAAAGGUUGAUCCAUACACUCGAAGAGAGAUUAAGCAAAGGAUAAAGAGAGACGUUUGGU
Molecule: long non-coding RNA, 1214 nt
Organism: Leopardus geoffroyi (Geoffroy's cat)
Lineage: Eukaryota; Metazoa; Chordata; Mammalia; Carnivora; Felidae
Exons: 5
Source: RefSeq, a predicted model, not a curated record